This 1776-nucleotide long non-coding RNA is filed under the name Homo sapiens (human). Its description in RNAcentral is "HSALNT0303998". The record is from RNAcentral. Lineage: Eukaryota; Metazoa; Chordata; Mammalia; Primates; Hominidae.
AUAGAUGAGAACAGCAACACCAUCUGUUCACUCUGUGUUCUCUGUGCCCAGUGUUGUGUGAAACUUUCUAUCCAAUAUCUUGCAAAAUCCUUACAGCAACCCUAUAAGGGUUGGGUCGGGGCCUUCCAAUCUCUAUAGGUUUUACUGCUUCCAAAGACCUGGCAUACUCCUGGUUUGUGAUGAUCAAGUUCUGGGUCAGAGCAGGGAGAAGCAGCCCAUGAGGCCGGUGAAAUGGUGCCCAAUGGAGGGGAAGGCCCUGGCUUGUGAUCUUGGGCAAGUCCCUCCUCAUACCCAGCUUCAGCUUCUCCUCUAUAAAAUGGCUCUAGGAUGCAGCAGUGAACAAAACAGACGAGUCUACAGAGUUGACAUGACAUGCAGGGGCCAUGGAGAAGGCGAGAACUGUGGAAACGUCGUUGUUGAGUAUGUCAAAUGGUGAUGUGUGCUGUAAAGAAGGAGUGAAGCUGGACUCAGAGCGGACAGGAAGACAGGGGUAGGGGUAGGUCUGGGCUUUUGUACAGGGUGAUCUGAGAAGGCCACUUUGACAAGGUGAUAUGUAAAGUGAGGACACAAGCCCUGUGACUAUGUGGGCACAACUCUCCUAGGAAAAGGGAGCAGCAAAGUGCAUGGACCCCAAAGCAGGAAUGAAUAUGCUCAGUGCGUCCAAGGAAGAGCCGGGACCAGCAGAGCUCAAGUGGAGUGAGCGUGGGGAAAGAGCGGACCCGGUCAGAGGGGUGCUGGGGACCAGACAACGUCACGCGUCAUGGCCAUCGCUAAGGAUUUGGGGUUUUACUUUGCAUGAGAUGAAAAGCCACAGGAGGGUUUUGAAUAGAGGAGUAGAAUGAUUUGACUUGAGUUUUUAAAAGGUUUACUCCAGCUGCUUGGUGGAGAGUGGAUGGUGCAGGUGAGGGCAGAGGCAGGGAAACCAGUUAGGAGGCUGCUGCAGCGACGUGGGAGAGGACUGUGGGUGGUUUGGGCCAUAUUAGAAGCAGUGGUAAGAAACACUGAGCUCUGGAUGUGUUCUGAAGGUAUGCCAACGUGAUUUACUAACCGAUCCAUGAAGGGCAUGAGAGGAAGAGAGCAAUCAAAAAUGACCCCCAGGGUUUUUGUCUGAGCAUCUGGAGUUGCCCUUAUUUGAGAGUUAGAAGACCAAGAGGGCCGGGUGUAGUGGCUCACGUCUGUAAUCCCGGCACUUUGGGAGGCCGAGGCAGGUGGAUCACUUGAGGUCAAGAGUUGGAGACCAGCCUGGCCAACGUGGUGAAACCCCGUCUCUACUAAAAAUACAAAAAAUAGCCAGGCAUGGUGGUGGGCAUCUGUAGUCCCAGCUACUCAGGAGGCUGAGGCAGGAGAAUCGCUUGAACCCGGCAGGCGGAGGUUGCAGCAAGCCAAGAUCGUGCCACUGCACUCCAGCCUGGGUGGCAGAGCAAGACUCCGUCUCAAAACAAAACAAAACAAAAAACAAGAGGAACACAUUAGGUGGAUAGGAGAUGUCGUUUGGGUGCAGCCAGGCUGGGUGGCUCACACUUGUAAUCCCAGCACUUUGGGAGGCCCAGGUGGGAGGACUGUUUGAGCCCAGGAGUUGGAGACCAGCCCGGCUAACAUAGCGAGACUCCAUCCCUACAGAAAAAUUAAAAAAUUAGCCGGGCAUGGCGGCAUGUGCCUGUAGUCCCAGCGACUUGGGUGGGGGGCUGAGUUCAGGAGGUUUUGGCUGCAGUGAGCUGUGAUCACACCGCUGCACUCCAGCCUGGGCAUUAGAGCAAGACCUUGUCUUAAAAAAAA